UACGGAGGGGGCUAGCGUUGUUCGGAAUUACUGGGCGUAAAGCGUACGUAGGCGGUGAUUCAAGUCAGAGGUGAAAGCCUGGAGCUCAACUCCAGAAUUGCCUUUGAAACUAGAUCGCUUGAACGUCGGAGAGGUGAGUGGAAUUCCGAGUGUAGAGGUGAAAUUCGUAGAUAUUCGGAAGAACACCAGUGGCGAAGGCGGCUCACUGGACGACUGUUGACGCUGAGGUACGAAAGCGUGGGGAGCAAACAGG
This 253-nucleotide ribosomal RNA is filed under the name uncultured bacterium. RNAcentral's name for it is "partial 16S ribosomal RNA". It matches the Rfam family "Bacterial small subunit ribosomal RNA", at positions 524 to 776 of the family's 1533-position model. The record is from RNAcentral.